GGAAAGAUUCCAAGGUUCAUGUAUACUUGGCCGGGGAUAGUUCCGGUGGAAAUAUAGCACACCAUGUCGCAGUGAGGGCAGCGGAAGCCGAAAUCGAAGUAUUGGGUAACAUUCUUCUGCAUCCAAUGUUCGGCGGCCAAGAGAGAACUGAAUCAGAGAAGAGAUUAGACGGAAAAUACUUCGUUACGAUUCAAGAUCGUGACUGGUACUGGCGAGCAUAUCUACCUGAAGGAGAAGAUAGAGAUCAUCCAGCAUGUAAUAUCUUUGGCCCUCGAGGGAAAAAUCUCGCAGCACUCAAAUUCCCAAAA
Molecule: long non-coding RNA, 308 nt
Filed under: Manihot esculenta (cassava)
Lineage: Eukaryota; Viridiplantae; Streptophyta; Magnoliopsida; Malpighiales; Euphorbiaceae
Description: long non-coding RNA (MESC_LNC002696)
Source: RNAcentral